Molecule: ribosomal RNA, 539 nt
Filed under: Lysinibacillus xylanilyticus
Lineage: Bacteria; Bacillati; Bacillota; Bacilli; Caryophanales; Bacillaceae
Description: bacterial LSU rRNA
Rfam family: Bacterial large subunit ribosomal RNA
Source: RNAcentral
AGACCGGAAGGACUGGUGGAGCGCUUAGAAGUGAGAAUGCCGGUAUGAGUAGCGAAAGACGGGUGAGAAUCCCGUCCACCGUAUGACUAAGGUUUCCUGAGGAAGGCUCGUCCGCUCAGGGUUAGUCGGGACCUAAGCCGAGGCCGAUAGGCGUAGGCGAUGGACAACAGGUUGAUAUUCCUGUACCACCUCCUCGCCGUUUGAGAAAUGGGGGGACGCAGUAGGAUAGGGUAAGCGCGCUGUUGGAUAUGCGCGUCCAAGCAGUAAGGCGUGUGUGUAGGCAAAUCCGCACACUGUAACGUUGAGCUGUGAUGGCGAGUCCGUAUGGACGAAGUUCCUGAUUUCACACUGCCAAGAAAAGCCUCUAUCGAGGUGAGAGGUGCCCGUACCGCAAACCGACACAGGUAGUCGAGGAGAGAAUCCUAAGGUGUGCGAGAGAACUCUCGUUAAGGAACUCGGCAAAAUGACCCCGUAACUUCGGGAGAAGGGGUGCUCUUGAGCGUGCAAGCGCAUGAGAGCCGCAGUGAAUAGGCCCAGGC